GAGUGUAGCUCAGCUGGUUAAGAGCGUUCGCCUGAUAAGCGAGAGGUCGGAAGUUCGAGUCUUCUCAUUCGC
This 72-nucleotide transfer RNA is filed under the name bovine gut metagenome. It matches the Rfam family "tRNA". From Rfam's summary of the family: Transfer RNA (tRNA) molecules are approximately 80 nucleotides in length. Their secondary structure includes four short double-helical elements and three loops (D, anti-codon, and T loops). The record is from RNAcentral.